Molecule: long non-coding RNA, 712 nt
Filed under: Macaca nemestrina (pig-tailed macaque)
Lineage: Eukaryota; Metazoa; Chordata; Mammalia; Primates; Cercopithecidae
Description: lncRNA (ENSMNEG00000045844.1)
Source: RNAcentral
CACAGUAUUUGGGUAGGAGUGUCCCAUUUUUCCAGGUAGUCUGUCACGGCUUCCCUUGGCUAGGAAAGGGAAAUCCCCCAACCCCUUGUGCUUCCCAGGUAAGGUGAUGCCCUGCCUUGCUUCAGCUUGCCCUCUGUGGGCUGCACCCACUGUCCAACCAGUCCCAAUGAGAUGAACCAGGUACCUCAGAUGGAAAUGCAGAUAUCACCUAUCUUCUGCAUGGAUCACGCUGGGAGCUGCAGAUUGGAGCUGUUCCUGUUUGGCCGUCUUGGCUCUGACUGUAUUUAUUUUAUUUUGCUUUCAAAAAUCUCAUUUUCAAGUUACAUGGCAAAUUCAGAUACCACCUACAUAAGGACCAUGAGAAAUGCUCCAAGAAGCAGCAUCCAGUUAAGCUCAUUUUCUACAUUUCUGCUUUGGGGAAAUGUACAGGCAGAGGCAGGCACUGUCGGGAUGGACAUCUCCAGAAAGCCUAUAAGAGAAACUUUCCCGGGACCGAAGUUUUGAGCAUUUAUUUUUCUUCAUUAAUUCAAUGAAUAUUUAUGCAGCCAUUGUGUAGCUUACAUUAGUGGGGGAAACUGACAAUAAACAUUAGGAUGAUAAAUAUGCAAAUUAUACAAUGUGUUAGGAUGAAACCCAAGUUGUAGAAAAAUGUAAGACAAGGUAGGUGAGAGUUCUCUGGGCGGGGAAGGGGUAGGUUGCUGUAUUAAUGGGG